This 72-nucleotide transfer RNA is filed under the name Caudoviricetes sp. RNAcentral's name for it is "tRNA-Lys". It matches the Rfam family "tRNA". Rfam says of the family: Transfer RNA (tRNA) molecules are approximately 80 nucleotides in length. Their secondary structure includes four short double-helical elements and three loops (D, anti-codon, and T loops). Further hydrogen bonds mediate the characteristic L-shaped molecular structure. tRNAs have two regions of fundamental functional importance: the anti-codon, which is responsible for specific mRNA codon recognition, and the 3' end, to which the tRNAs corresponding amino acid is attached (by aminoacyl-tRNA synthetases). tRNAs cope with the degeneracy of the genetic code in two manners: having more than one tRNA (with a specific anti-codon) for a particular amino acid; and 'wobble' base-pairing, i.e. permitting non-standard base-pairing at the 3rd anti-codon position. Lineage: Duplodnaviria; Heunggongvirae; Uroviricota; Caudoviricetes. The record is from RNAcentral.
GAGUGAUUAGCUCAAUUGGUAGAGCACUUAACCUUUAAUUAAGACUGUGGAGUUCGAGUCUCCUAUCACUCA